RNAcentral lists this ribosomal RNA (650 nucleotides) under uncultured bacterium. Its description in RNAcentral is "bacterial SSU rRNA". It matches the Rfam family "Bacterial small subunit ribosomal RNA", at positions 52 to 692 of the family's 1533-position model. The record is from RNAcentral.
CACAUGCAAGUCGAGGGGCAGCAUCAUCAAAGCUUGCUUUGAUGGAUGGCGACCGGCGCACGGGUGAGUAACACGUAUCCAACCUGCCGACAACACUGGGAUAGCCCUUCGAAAGAAAGAUUAAUACCGGAUGGCAUAAUUAUUCCGCAUGGGAUAAUUAUUAAAGAAUUUCGGUUGUCGAUGGGGAUGCGUUCCAUUAGGCAGUUGGCGGGGUAACGGCCCACCAAACCUACGAUGGAUAGGGGUUCUGAGAGGAAGGUCCCCCACAUUGGAACUGAGACACGGUCCAAACUCCUACGGGAGGCAGCAGUGAGGAAUAUUGGUCAAUGGACGAGAGUCUGAACCAGCCAAGUAGCGUGAAGGAUGACUGCCCUAUGGGUUGUAAACUUCUUUUAUACGGGAAUAAAGUUAGCCACGUGUGGCUUUUUGUAUGUACCGUAUGAAUAAGGAUCGGCUAACUCCGUGCCAGCAGCCGCGGUAAUACGGAGGAUCCGAGCGUUAUCCGGAUUUAUUGGGUUUAAAGGGAGCGUAGGCGGGUUGUUAAGUCAGUUGUGAAAGUUUGCGGCUCAACCGUAAAAUUGCAGUUGAUACUGGCGACCUUGAGUGCAACAGAGGUAGGCGGAAUUCGUGGUGUAGCGGUGAAAUGCUUA